AAUCGCCAGUGGCCGAUGAUUUAAUUAACAGUGCAUAUGUAAUGAAGGCUACAUAAAAACCCAAAACAGAGAGGGUUCAGAGAGCUUCCAGGUAAUAUGGCUCCAUUAUUUGAAAUUCUCCAGUGGCUCCCGCUGUCUUUGAGAGUGAAAGCCGAAGACCUUACAGUGGCUCCCUAGGCCCACAAGGAUCUGCCUCCAUCCUCACUCCCGUUACCUCCCUGACCCUGUUCCGUUCUGUCCUCCUUGCUCAUUCUGCUGAGGCCAGCUGGCGUCCUUGUUAUUCCUCAAGCACAUCAGCCAUAUUAUGAAUGAAUCUUCAGCAAGUGGGUGACUUCCAUCAGUGGCAGAACUGUGAACAGUGAGAAGCUGGUUCCUUUCAAACUCCCCUAUAUGUUUUUCCACGUGGUUUUCUUGAGCCUCUGCCUCCCUAAGCACUUCAGGUCCAGGUUCAUUGUCUGCUGUGGCUGAUGUGGAAGGUUUGAAAUAUGACAGUAUGCCUGACUGCUUAGCCUCUGUAACGACUCACUGCAAAACAAAUGCAGGACGCUAUUUUCACCUUUUUUCGUAAAAGUGAAAAUCCUCUUCGGAUUUCUUCAGUGAAGACAGAAAAUAGAUGGCUCUCCAGGAACCAGGAAUUGGACCCUCACCAAACGUGGAAUCUGCCAGCAUCAGCACCUGAUCUUGCACUUCAGAUCCAAGUCUCUAGAACUCCAUGUGAGGACAUAGAGAGAAAAUGGCCGUGUCUGAAUCAGGAAGCAGGCUCUCACCAGACACCAAAUCUGCCAGCACCCUGAUCUUGGACUUCCCAGCCUCCAGAACUGUGAGAAAUAAAGUUUGUUGUUUAAGCCACUGAGUUUAUGCCAUUUUUGUUAGAACAGCCUGAACAGAUUAAGACACACAUCUCUUACAUGUUCCUAAAGUGGCAAAAAAAGGUAUAUGUUGAUUAAUAUGACCCAAACCUAUAGCCUGUCUACAGCAUAUAAAAAUGAAAAGCAGGCACCAGCCCGGUUGUGCAGUGGUUAAGUUCACAGGUUCCGCUUCGGCUGCCCUGGGUUUGCUGGUUCAGAUCCCAAGUGUGAACACGGCACCGCUUGGCAAGCUAUGCUGUGGCAGGCAUCCCACAUAUAAAGUAGAGGAGGAUGGGCAUGGAUGUUAGCUCAGGGCCAGUCUUCCUCAACAAAAAAGAGGAGAAUUGGCAGCAGAUGUUAGCUCAGGGCUAAUCUUCCUCAAAAAAAAAAAAAAAGAAAAAAAGAAAGAAAAAGUAUGUAAUAAUUAUCCAUUAAUUAACUCAAUUUAAUAUCAGGCCAAGGCUGGAUGGGGAAAGAGCUGGAAGAUGACAGUGGAUAAGACAAAAGAAUCAAAGAGAGCUUUGAGGUUUUGAUUUUGGGUUGCUCCAGGGAUGGGAAUGCCAGGAAGAGAGAGAAAGAUUGCAAGGUGGUUAGCACAUUUCCUGGAAGGUGAUGAUUUUCGUUUGGGACAUAAGGAGUUGGAGAUGUCAAAACAAUCAGAGGGAAACGGCCAGCAAGCAUUUGGCCAUACAUCACUAGCUAUUUGAAAGACCUGUCAGGGCAUUUAUUUGGGCUGGGUCUUAAAUGGUGACAGAUUUGUGAAUUGUCUUUAUUGGGGUGAUAGUUGAGGUCAUGCAAAUAGAUGAAAUAGCCAAAGUGAACAUUUAGAGAAACAAAUUUGCUUCAGAACUUAAUUGUUAUUCUGUGAAUAAGUAUUACUUCAUUUGUUCCUGAAAAAGUGUUUCUUAUAAUGGUUUUAAAAGUGCAAAAGCCAAAAGAGGCUAUCAACAUAGCAUGGUCAGGUUUGAGGUCAACAACACAAUGUAAAAAAAACAUGUUGGUGAAUCCCUAAACCAGACUCAGAGAAGUAUGCCAGUUUCACCCUCCUUCUCUCUACUUGGAACUUUCUUUUGCAUUGGUUUCCUUUACUCUGUGACUUGCUUGAUUUUUUAGCACGUUAAUUUCUUGUUGUGCCUGACUUGGAUCUGUAUAACAUUGUUCUGAU
Molecule: long non-coding RNA, 2013 nt
Filed under: Equus caballus (horse)
Lineage: Eukaryota; Metazoa; Chordata; Mammalia; Perissodactyla; Equidae
Description: lncRNA (ENSECAG00000055644.1)
Source: RNAcentral